This 1287-nucleotide ribosomal RNA is filed under the name metagenome. Its description in RNAcentral is "bacterial SSU rRNA". It matches the Rfam family "Bacterial small subunit ribosomal RNA", at positions 242 to 1520 of the family's 1533-position model. The record is from RNAcentral.
UAGCUAGUUGGUGAGGUAACGGCUUACCAAGGCGACGAUCUGUAGCGGGUCUGAGAGGAUGAUCCGCCACACUGGAACUGAGACACGGUCCAGACUCCUACGGGAGGCAGCAGUGGGGAAUUUUGGACAAUGGGGGCAACCCUGAUCCAGCCAUGCCGCGUGAGUGAAGAAGGCCUUCGGGUUGUAAAGCUCUUUCGGCCGGGAAGAAAUCGCAUGGGCCAAUACCCUGUGUGGAUGACGGUACCGGAAUAAGAAGCACCGGCUAACUACGUGCCAGCAGCCGCGGUAAUACGUAGGGUGCGAGCGUUAAUCGGAAUUACUGGGCGUAAAGCGUGCGCAGGCGGUUUUGUAAGACAGGCGUGAAAUCCCCGGGCUCAACCUGGGAACUGCGUUUGUGACUGCAAGGCUAGAGUACGGCAGAGGGGGGUGGAAUUCCACGUGUAGCAGUGAAAUGCGUAGAGAUGUGGAGGAACACCAAUGGCGAAGGCAGCCCCCUGGGUCGAUACUGACGCUCAUGCACGAAAGCGUGGGUAGCAAACAGGAUUAGAUACCCUGGUAGUCCACGCCCUAAACUAUGUCAACUAGGUGUUGGGUGGGUAAAACCAUUUAGUACCGUAGCUAACGCGUGAAGUUGACCGCCUGGGGAGUACGGCCGCAAGGUUAAAACUCAAAGGAAUUGACGGGGACCCGCACAAGCGGUGGAUGAUGUGGAUUAAUUCGAUGCAACGCGAAAAACCUUACCUACCCUUGACAUGCCAGGAACUUGCCAGAGAUGGCUUGGUGCCCGAAAGGGAGCCUGGACACAGGUGCUGCAUGGCUGUCGUCAGCUCGUGUCGUGAGAUGUUGGGUUAAGUCCCGCAACGAGCGCAACCCUUGUCGUUAAUUGCCAUCAUUUAGUUGGGCACUUUAGCGAGACUGCCGGUGACAAACCGGAGGAAGGUGGGGAUGACGUCAAGUCCUCAUGGCCCUUAUGGGUAGGGCUUCACACGUCAUACAAUGGUCGGUACAGAGGGUCGCCAAGCCGCGAGGUGGAGCCAAUCCCAGAAAGCCGAUCGUAGUCCGGAUUGCAGGCUGCAACUCGCCUGCAUGAAGUCGGAAUCGCUAGUAAUCGUGGAUCAGCAUGUCACGGUGAAUACGUUCCCGGGUCUUGUACACACCGCCCGUCACACCAUGGGAGCGGGUUCCGCCAGAAGUAGGUAGCCUAACCGCAAGGAGGGCGCUUACCACGGCGGGGUUCGUGACUGGGGUGAAGUCGGAACAAGGUAGCCGUAGGGGAACCUGCGGCUG